RNAcentral lists this ribosomal RNA (467 nucleotides) under uncultured bacterium. Its description in RNAcentral is "partial 16S ribosomal RNA". It matches the Rfam family "Bacterial small subunit ribosomal RNA", at positions 28 to 507 of the family's 1533-position model. The record is from RNAcentral.
GACGAACGCUGGCGGCGUGCUUAACACAUGCAAGUCAGGGGGCGGGGUAACCCGUCACCGGCGAACUGGUGCGGCACACGUGAGCGACCUGCCCUGGUGUGGUGGCUAGCCGGCCCAACGGCCGGGUAAUACCUCAUACGGCUCCCGCUUGGAAGCGCGUGGCGAAACUCGCAAGAGGCGCUAGGUGGGGCUCGCGGCCUAUCAGCGCGUUGGUGCGGUAACGGCGCACGAAGGCGAUGACGGGUGGCUGGUCUGAGAGGAGGGCCAGGAAGAUUGGGAGUGAGAGACGGCCCAGACUCCUACGGGAGGCAGCAGUGGGGAAUAUUGCGCAAAGGGUGAAAGACUGAGGCAGCGACGCCGCGAGGAGGAUGGGGUGCGUCGGGGUGGAAACUGGUGUGGACCGGGACGAAGGCCCCGAAUCGGCGGGGGUGACGGUACCGGGUGAAGAAGCACCGGCUAACUCUGUG